This 253-nucleotide ribosomal RNA is filed under the name uncultured bacterium. RNAcentral describes it as "partial 16S ribosomal RNA". It matches the Rfam family "Bacterial small subunit ribosomal RNA", at positions 524 to 776 of the family's 1533-position model. The record is from RNAcentral.
UACGUAGGGGGCAAGCGUUGUCCGGAUUUAUUGGGCGUAAAGCGCGUGUAGGCGGCCCUGCAAGUCGGGUGUGAAAUCCCAUGGCUCAACCAUGGAAGUGCACUCGAAACUGCAGGACUAGAGUCCUGGAGAGGAAGGUGGAAUGCUUGGUGUAGAGGUGAAAUUCGUAGAUAUCAAGCGGAACACCGGUGGCGAAGGCGGCCUUCUGGACAGUGACUGACGCUGAGACGCGAAAGCGUGGGGAGCAAACAGG